Molecule: long non-coding RNA, 425 nt
Organism: Mytilus trossulus (common blue mussel)
Lineage: Eukaryota; Metazoa; Mollusca; Bivalvia; Mytilida; Mytilidae
Exons: 3
Source: RefSeq, a predicted model, not a curated record
UUCCUGGUUGGAGGGACAGUUUUGGACUUUGAUGUCACUCCUUCAUAUACCUUAAAUAUUGAUUGUGCUGAUCAUAGGAGAUCUGUCUCAGAUGUUUUGACAGUAGCAAUAAUUCGAAACGAGCCACCAACAAUUGUAAACCUACCAAUGAGUUCAGACAUACCGGAAAGUAUAACUUCAGAAAGUUUGUUGUAUACCAUAUCGGUGACAGAUCCGACCAAUGAUACAGUUACAUGUGUUAUUACACCACCAACUUCUAUAUUCUAUCUCCAAACGACAUCAGCACAAUUUGAAACCGAGAUAUGGGUUCGAGGUAAUCAAGGGUUCGUGUAUGACACUAAGAGACAAUAUACCUUAAAUAUAGAAUGUGCUGACCAGCGAAGAAGUGAUUCGGAUGACUUUUACAUUUACAUUCUUCGAAAUAU